GGGUUGUGAGGUUAAGCGACUAAGCGUACACGGUGGAUGCCCUGGCAGUCAGAGGCGAUGAAGGACGUGCUAAUCUGCGAAAAGCGUCGGUAAGGUGAUAUGAACCGUUACAGCCGGCGAUGUCCGAAUGGGGAAACCCAGUGCAAUUCGUUGCACUAUCGUUAACUGAAUACAUAGGUUAACGAGGCGAACCGGGGGAACUGAAACAUCUAAGUACCCCGAGGAAAAGAAAUCAACCGAGAUUCCCCCAGUAGCGGCGAGCGAACGGGGAGCAGCCCGGAGUCUGAAUCAGCUUGUGUGUUAGUGGAAGCGUCUGGAAAGUCGCAGGGUACAGGGUGAUACUCCCGUACACUAAAACACACAGGUUGUGAACUCGAAGAGUAGGGCGGGACACGUGGUAUCCUGUCUGAAUAUGGGGGGACCAUCCUCCAAGGCUAAAUACUCCUGACUGACCGAUAGUGAACCAGUACCGUGAGGGAAAGGCGAAAAGAACCCCGGCGAGGGGAGUGAAAAAGAACCUGAAACCGUGUACGUACAAGCAGUAGGAGCCCACUUGUUGGGUGACUGCGUACCUUUUGUAUAAUGGGUCAGCGACUUAUAUUCUGUAGCAAGGUUAACCGUAUAGGGGAGCCGCAGGGAAACCGAGUCUUAACUGGGCGUUAAGUUGCAGGGUAUAGACCCGAAACCCGGUGAUCUAGCCAUGGGCAGGUUGAAGGUUGGGUAACACUAACUGGAGGACCGAACCGACUAAUGUUGAAAAAUUAGCGGAUGACUUGUGGCUGGGGGUGAAAGGCCAAUCAAACCGGGAGAUAGCUGGUUCUCCCCGAAAGCUAUUUAGGUAGCGCCUCGUGAACUCAUCUUCGGGGGUAGAGCACUGUUUCGGCUAGGGGGUCAUCCCGACUUACCAACCCGAUGCAAACUACGAAUACCGAAGAAUGUUAUCACGGGAGACACACGGCGGGUGCUAACGUCCGUCGUGAAGAGGGAAACAACCCAGACCGCCAGCUAAGGUCCCAAAGUCAUGGUUAAGUGGGAAACGAUGUGGGAAGGCCCAGACAGCCAGGAUGUUGGCUUAGAAGCAGCCAUCAUUUAAAGAAAGCGUAAUAGCUCACUGGUCGAGUCGGCCUGCGCGGAAGAUGUAACGGGGCUAAACCAUGCACCGAAGCUGCGGCAGCGACACUAUGUGUUGUUGGGUAGGGGAGCGUUCUGUAAGCCGUUGAAGGUGGCCUGUGAGGGUUGCUGGAGGUAUCAGAAGUGCGAAUGCUGACAUAAGUAACGAUAAUGCGGGUGAAAAACCCGCACGCCGGAAGACCAAGGGUUCCUGUCCAACGUUAAUCGGGGCAGGGUGAGUCGACCCCUAAGGCGAGGCCGAAAGGCGUAGUCGAUGGGAAACAGGUUAAUAUUCCUGUACUCGGUGUUACUGCGAAGGGGGGACGGAGAAGGCUAUGUUGGCCGGGCGACGGUUGUCCCGGUUUAAGCAUGUAGGCGGAUGUUCCAGGUAAAUCCGGAACGUUAUUAACGCUGAGGUGUGAUGACGAGGCACUACGGUGCUGAAGUGACAAAUGCCCUGCUUCCAGGAAAAGCCUCUAAGCAUCAGGUAACAUCAAAUCGUACCCCAAACCGACACAGGUGGUCAGGUAGAGAAUACCAAGGCGCUUGAGAGAACUCGGGUGAAGGAACUAGGCAAAAUGGUGCCGUAACUUCGGGAGAAGGCACGCUGAUGGUAAGUGAAGCGACUUGCUCGUGGAGCUGAAAUCAGUCGAAGAUACCAGCUGGCUGCAACUGUUUAUUAAAAACACAGCACUGUGCAAACACGAAAGUGGACGUAUACGGUGUGACGCCUGCCCGGUGCCGGAAGGUUAAUUGAUGGGGUUAUCCUCGCGGAGAAGCUCUUGAUCGAAGCCCCGGUAAACGGCGGCCGUAACUAUAACGGUCCUAAGGUAGCGAAAUUCCUUGUCGGGUAAGUUCCGACCUGCACGAAUGGCGUAAUGAUGGCCAGGCUGUCUCCACCCGAGACUCAGUGAAAUUGAACUCGCUGUGAAGAUGCAGUGUACCCGCGGCAAGACGGAAAGACCCCGUGAACCUUUACUAUAGCUUGACACUGAACACUGGUCCUUGAUGUGUAGGAUAGGUGGGAGGCUUUGAAGUGUGGACGCCAGUCUGCAUGGAGCCAUCCUUGAAAUACCACCCUUUAAUGGCUGGUGUUCUAACGUGGGCCCGUAAUCCGGGUUGCGGACAGUGUCUGGUGGGUAGUUUGACUGGGGCGGUCUCCUCCUAAAGAGUAACGGAGGAGCACGAAGGUCAGCUAAUCCUGGUCGGACAUCAGGAGGUUAGUGCAAUGGCAUAAGCUGGCUUGACUGCGAGCGUGACGGCGCGAGCAGGUGCGAAAGCAGGUCAUAGUGAUCCGGUGGUUCUGAAUGGAAGGGCCAUCGCUCAACGGAUAAAAGGUACUCCGGGGAUAACAGGCUGAUACCGCCCAAGAGUUCAUAUCGACGGCGGUGUUUGGCACCUCGAUGUCGGCUCAUCACAUCCUGGGGCUGAAGUAGGUCCCAAGGGUAUGGCUGUUCGCCAUUUAAAGUGGUACGCGAGCUGGGUUUAGAACGUCGUGAGACAGUUCGGUCCCUAUCUGCCGUGGGCGCUGGAGAAUUGAGGGGGGCUGCUCCUAGUACGAGAGGACCGGAGUGGACGCAUCACUGGUGUUCGGGUUGUCAUGCCAAUGGCAUUGCCCGGUAGCUAAAUGCGGAAGAGAUAAGUGCUGAAAGCAUCUAAGCACGAAACUUGCCCCGAGAUGAGUUCUCCCUGACCCUUUAAGGGUCCUGAAGGAACGUUGAAGACGACGACGUUGAUAGGCCGGGUGUGUAAGCGCAGCGAUGCGUUGAGCUAACCGGUACUAAUGAACCGUGAGGCUUAACCUUACAACGCCGAAG
This 2927-nucleotide ribosomal RNA is filed under the name Klebsiella michiganensis. RNAcentral's name for it is "23S ribosomal RNA". It matches the Rfam family "Bacterial large subunit ribosomal RNA". The record is from RNAcentral. Lineage: Bacteria; Pseudomonadati; Pseudomonadota; Gammaproteobacteria; Enterobacterales; Enterobacteriaceae.